Molecule: long non-coding RNA, 2110 nt
Filed under: Sus scrofa (pig)
Lineage: Eukaryota; Metazoa; Chordata; Mammalia; Artiodactyla; Suidae
Description: lncRNA (ENSSSCG00060047559.1)
Source: RNAcentral
GGAAAGUAAUAUAAAUAUUUGUGUUAUUGUCAAAUUUAACUUUAUUGUGCUUUUAUGUGACAAGAAUUUAUAACACUUCAGAUAAAGCUGGACCACUCUGAGAAGUUGUGCUGCAAAUUUAUCCAGGGUCCUUGCCCUACUUUUCUCUUCAGUCCCCUACCCAAAUUUAGCACACUGCAUUGUGCUGCUUCCCAUAUCAUCUCUUAGGCUGUGGAUGCAAAGGGCUGUCUACAGCAAUUUCUGCCUGGCUGGAAGGAAAGAAUUUAAUGUGUUGGUACAACUGUGGGUCUGUAGGCUAGUUAGGAAUAAUGGGCUGCAAGAUGGGAUAAAUAAGACUUCUUCUUAGAUUAAUGACAUAACUAUUAGUGGAGGCAGAUUAAUUAUUAGGAACAGACUCAAGAUUAUUGUUACAUCUCUGUAUUCUAUGAAGAAACAACAGCAAGUAAAUUCAGGAUGGCUAGAAUAAGUACAUGGGAUGGAGGUUGGAAAUAUAUUUGAGAAGGCAGAGCCUGAUCAUUGUGUGCCUGCCUGGCUAAAGAAUUCGGCCUUUAACCUGAUAGAGAAUUGGGGUAAUAGAUUCCAAAUGGAGUAGAUUCCAAUAGUUUCCCAAAUGGAAAUAGUAAAUUUUUUUUUCUGAUUGUAAAAGGAGCACAUGCUUGUUAUAAAAUGCACACGGGCAACACCAAAAAAUGUUGACAUUCUCUAGAGAUAACCACUGCUAAUAGUUGAUUGUGUAACCUUGUAGAAAGGAAUGUCAUGAUCGGUUUUGCAGCAGUGUGGAGGAUGGAGAGGACAAGAGAGGGAGGAGAGUGGAGCAGGAGACUCUUAGGGAGUUCCUGGUGAGAAAUGAGGAGAACUUGUUCUUAGUGACAGCUAUGGAGAUGGGAGAGGGGCAGGGCUGGGGGAAGGUCACAGGCAUUUAGGAGGUAGGUGAGAUUCAGUGACCAGCUGGAUGAGUGGGUGAAGGACACCCCAGAAAAGUGUCCGGGAAGGUCGCUGAGUGGAAUGCCCAGAACCUGGGUCCAAAUUGUGAGGUCAUUGAGGUGGCGUAAAAGGAAAAAAUAGCAGUUUUACCAACUGCAUAAUUCCAGAGUGGAAACUGUAUCCUUUGUUCUAAUUUUCUUCUGGUUUUUCCAGGCUGAUUUAGAGAGGGAGUGUAAAAGUAAGAAUUCAAUUCUGUUUUGAUAGAUAAGAGCUGUUAAAUCUAUGUCCUUUUCUUUACUAAUUAUGUUUCUCUCUUGAAUUAGUUGAGGAUAGCAAGUUCUUUUAAGGAGUUGCUUCUGUUUUGGUGUAUAACUAUAGCAUUAGCUUUUAUAGUUCACAAAUUUCCUGUUAGAAUCUUUAAUUUUUUUAUUAUUUAAAAAUUAAAAAUUUUUUUUUUCAUUUUUGGCCACCCUGCGGCAUAUGGAGUUCCCUGGCCAGGGAUCAGAUCUCUGAGUUGCAGUUGUGACCUAUGCCAUAGCUGCAGGCAACACCAGGUCCUUAACUCACUGUGCCAGGCUGGGGAUCGAACCUGUGUCUCUGUGCUCCAGAGAUGCUCCUGAUCCCAUUGUGCCACAGCAGGAAUGCCAGAAUCUUUAAAUUUUUAUUCUGAAGAAUUGGGAUCGGAGUGCAGUGCGAGAGGCACUUGGGCAAGUUGUUGGGAGAGAUUCUUUGACCCUGAAUCAAGCAUUGUUUUGGUGUCUAGUAGUACCUUGCUUUCACCAGGUUCUGCUAUGUUCCAUUGAGAACAGGCCUAUGGAAUUCAGUGUGAAACCUCUUUUCUGUGUUGUAUAAAAAUAUGCAUAACAGUGCAGUGUUGGCAUGGACUCUUGAGUUCUGGGACACAGUGAAGGAUCCUCUCUCUCCAGGUAACUAAAAGAUGAUUGAUUGGUAAUGCCUGGAAGUUGUGGAACUAAGCAUUUGAGUUCCUGUCAUGGUGUGGUGGAAACGAAUCCAACUAGGAACCAUGAGGGUGUGGGUUAGAUCCCUGGCCUCGCUCAGUGGGUUAAGGAUCUGGCGUUGCCAUGAGCCGUGGUGUAGGUCACAGACAUGGCUUGCAUCCUGUGUUGCUGUGGCUGGCAGCUGUAGUGCCUGUUGGACCCCUAGCCUGGGAAUCUCCAUAUGCUGG